UCUCCGUAGGUGAACCUGCGGAGGGAUCAUUACAGAGUACAUGCCCUACCGGGUAGAUCUCCCACCCUAUGUUAUUAUUACUUUGUUGCUUUGGCGGGCCGUUAGGCUCCGGCCCGACUACCGGCCCCGGCUGGUAAGCGCCCGCCAGAGGACCCAAAACCCUGAAUAUUAGUGUCGUCUGAGUGCUAUAUAAUAGUUAAAACUUUCAACAACGGAUCUCUUGGUUCUG
RNAcentral lists this unclassified non-coding RNA (229 nucleotides) under plant metagenome. Its description in RNAcentral is "partial contains small subunit ribosomal RNA, internal transcribed spacer 1, and 5.8S ribosomal RNA". The record is from RNAcentral.